CCAGCACCGAGAGGCCUAUAAGGACUAGAGCGGAGAGGCCACGCCUCCUCAGCGCCUCAGCCCAAUCCAGAUCCGGGAGUGUGGCCCCCCUCGGCCAAUGGGCUCCGGGCGCACGUUCGCAACGUUCUCUCCUGCCCGGUGACAGAGGUCUGGCCCCGCCCCCGCUGAGCCCCAGAACGCUCCCAGCCGAACCCCGCGCCGCGGCCACGCCCCCUUUCUGGAAGGGAUCCGCGGCGGCUGCAGCUGCCAAGGUCCCCGAGGGCGCUCGCGGCAGGGGAGGAUCAAGGAACGACUUGUUUAUUAUAGGGUCCUGUUGCUGGGGGAGGGGGUAGCCGUGACCGCGCGGGGGGAAAGGCAGGGGAACUUGAGGGGGCGGCGGGCCGGGAAAACGGUUGCCCCCAGCGUCUGGGAACCUGAGACUACAGGCACAAGUCUGUGUGGGGCCCUUUCGUACAACAGCCCCCUAGGCGAUUCUGACGCUCCGCUCCAUUUUAGUUGGAAUGUCUGCUGACCUCUCAGAAAGAUGAGAAGACCAAAGGGAAGUAUCCAAAGCAACCCUGAAUGGGAACCAGAUCCCACAGUCCGCUGGCUUACACUGGCCCUCUCUCC
Panthera uncia (snow leopard) is the source of this 609-nucleotide long non-coding RNA. RefSeq lists it as uncharacterized. The transcript has 3 exons. The record is from RefSeq and is a predicted model, not a curated record. NCBI's taxonomy places the organism in Eukaryota, Metazoa, Chordata, Mammalia, Carnivora, Felidae.